GGUACAUCUGUAUCCAGAAUAACAUCUGCUGUCUGUUCUCCAGUGUUCCAGAAGUCCUAGUGGAAUGGGAUCAUAGCCGAAAGGAGAACCUGCCUUGGUUUGGUCAGAAAAGGGUAUCGUGCAUGACAGGUGAAGUCCUGCCAUUUUGGAAGGGAGUAUGUACUGCAUCUUUCUAAGAUCUUCCAUGACCUGCACCACCAAACAUUUUGGACUCCUACAGUCUCUUUGUGAAUCCCUCAUUGAGUCUGGAUGUGUGUGCCACUCGGAGCAAGUCAACAAUAGGAAACUACGAGCUCUAAAACAGAAAGGCUUUGUGAAACACCAUUCAGGACAAACACACAGAGGUGAGAGAAUGGCUUACAGAGGAAGAGGCUGUGAUACCACACCUACUGCAAGGAGGAUGAGGAAUAUUCUAGCCAUGUGCACAGGAAGAAGAGCAACAAGAUAUGGAGAUCAGACAGGCAACCUCUGCUAGAGAAUGUGCCACAUUUUUGUGUCACUUUAAUAACUGCUUCAUCAGUGUUAUCCAAAAUUGUCCAUCUUAUCACUAUUAUAGACAUUCAAAUAUUAAAACUAUGUUAAAAUCAUGUUUUUAUCGGUCUCUGUUAUAAUCUCUGAAAUUUUUGAUUGACAUGAACUGUGCUUAGUAUAUCUUUUUAUUUCAAAUCCAGACCAGUUUUUGGAUUAUUUUAACAAAUGAUGUAUUAAGACAAAAGAAACAGGGGCUGGCCCUGUGGCGCAGCAGUUAAGUUCACACGUUCUGCUUCUAGGUGGCCUGGGGUUCGCUGGUUCGGAUCCCAGGUGCGGACAUGACAAUGCUUGGCAGAUCAUGCUGUGGUAGGUGUCCCACAUAUACAGUAGAGGAAGAUGGGCAUGGAUGUUAGCUCAGGGCCAGGCUUCCUCAGCAAAAAGAGGAGGACCGGCAGUAGUUAGCUCAGGGCUAAUCUUC
RNAcentral lists this long non-coding RNA (949 nucleotides) under Equus caballus (horse). Its description in RNAcentral is "lncRNA (ENSECAG00000053103.1)". The record is from RNAcentral. Lineage: Eukaryota; Metazoa; Chordata; Mammalia; Perissodactyla; Equidae.